RNAcentral lists this ribosomal RNA (513 nucleotides) under uncultured Streptococcus sp. RNAcentral's name for it is "bacterial SSU rRNA". It matches the Rfam family "Bacterial small subunit ribosomal RNA", at positions 28 to 523 of the family's 1533-position model. The record is from RNAcentral. Lineage: Bacteria; Bacillati; Bacillota; Bacilli; Lactobacillales; Streptococcaceae.
GACGAACGCUGGCGGCGUGCCUAAUACAUGCAAGUAGAACGCUGAAGAGAGGAGCUUGCUCUUCUUGGAUGAGUUGCGAACGGGUGAGUAACGCGUAGGUAACCUGCCUUGUAGCGGGGGAUAACUAUUGGAAACGAUAGCUAAUACCGCAUAACAAUGGAUGACACAUGUCAUUUAUUUGAAAGGGGCAAUUGCUCCACUACAAGAUGGACCUGCGUUGUAUUAGCUAGUAGGUGAGGUAACGGCUCACCUAGGCGACGAUACAUAGCCGACCUGAGAGGGUGAUCGGCCACACUGGGACUGAGACACGGCCCAGACUCCUACGGGAGGCAGCAGUAGGGAAUCUUCGGCAAUGGGGGCAACCCUGACCGAGCAACGCCGCGUGAGUGAAGAAGGUUUUCGGAUCGUAAAGCUCUGUUGUAAGUCAAGAACGAGUGUGAGAGUGGAAAGUUCACACUGUGACGGUAGCUUACCAGAAAGGGACGGCUAACUACGUGACAGCAGCCGCGGUAA